UGCGUAGGUGGCGCCGUAAGUCGGGUGUGAAAUUUCGGAGCUUAACUCCGAAACUGCAUUCGAUACUGCGGUGCUUGAGGACUGGAGAGGAGACUGGAAUUUAUGGUGUAGCAGUGAAAUGCGUAGAGAUCAUAAGGAAGACCAGUGGCGAAGGCGGGUCUCUGGACAGUUCCUGACACUGAGGCACGAAGGGCCAGGGGAGCAAACG
This 208-nucleotide ribosomal RNA is filed under the name uncultured bacterium. Its description in RNAcentral is "partial 16S ribosomal RNA". It matches the Rfam family "Bacterial small subunit ribosomal RNA", at positions 568 to 774 of the family's 1533-position model. The record is from RNAcentral.